GCAGGCCUAACACAUGCAAGUCGAGCGCGCCUUCGGGUGAGCGGCGGACGGGUUAGUAACGCGUGGGAACGUGCCCUUCUCUACGGAAUAGCCUCUGGAAACGGAGAGUAAUACCGUAUACGCCCUUUGGGGGAAAGAUUUAUCGGAGAAGGAUCGGCCCGCGUUAGAUUAGGUAGUUGGUGGGGUAUGGCCUCCAAGCCUACGAUCUAUAGCUGGUUUUAGAGGAUGAUCAAGCAACACUGGGACUGAGACACGGCCCAGACUCCUACGGGAGGCAGCAGUGGGGAAUCUUAGACAAUGGGGGCAACCCUGAUCUAGCCAUGCCGCGUGAGUGAUGAAGGCCCUAGGGUCGUAAGCUCUUUCGCCUGUGAUGAUAAUGACAGUAGCAGGUAAAGAAACCCCGGCUACUCCGUGCCAGCAGCCGCGGUAAUACGGAG
RNAcentral lists this ribosomal RNA (437 nucleotides) under uncultured Alphaproteobacteria bacterium. RNAcentral describes it as "bacterial SSU rRNA". It matches the Rfam family "Bacterial small subunit ribosomal RNA", at positions 42 to 530 of the family's 1533-position model. The record is from RNAcentral. Lineage: Bacteria; Pseudomonadati; Pseudomonadota; Alphaproteobacteria.